CCUACGGGAGGCAGCAGUGGGGAAUAUUGGACAAUGGGCGAAAGCCUGAUCCAGCCAUGCCGCGUGUGUGAAGAAGGCCUUCGGGUUGUAAAGCACUUUCAGUGGGGAAGAAAGCCUUGGGGCUAAUACCCUCGAGGAAGGACAUCACCCACAGAAGAAGCACCGGCUAACUCCGUGCCAGCAGCCGCGGUAAUACGGAGGGUGCGAGCGUUAAUCGGAAUUACUGGGCGUAAAGCGCGCGUAGGCGGUCUGAUAAGCCGGUUGUGAAAGCCCCGGGCUCAACCUGGGAACGGCAUCCGGAACUGUCAGGCUAGAGUGCAGGAGAGGAAGGUAGAAUUCCCGGUGUAGCGGGGAAAUGCGUAGAGAUCGGGAGGAAUACCAGUGGCGAAGGCGGCCUUCUGGACUGACACUGACGCUGAGGUGCGAAAGCGUGGGUAGCAAACAGGAUUAGAUACCGGGUAGUC
This 464-nucleotide ribosomal RNA is filed under the name Vreelandella stevensii. RNAcentral's name for it is "partial 16S ribosomal RNA". It matches the Rfam family "Bacterial small subunit ribosomal RNA", at positions 338 to 795 of the family's 1533-position model. The record is from RNAcentral. Lineage: Bacteria; Pseudomonadati; Pseudomonadota; Gammaproteobacteria; Oceanospirillales; Halomonadaceae.